CCUACGGGAGGCAGCAGUGAGGAAUAUUGGUCAAUGGACGAGAGUCUGAACCAGCCAAGUAGCGUGAAGGAUGACUGCCCUAUGGGUUGUAAACUUCUUUUAUAUGGGAAUAAAAUGUUCCACGUGUGGGAUUUUGUAUGUACCAUAUGAAUAAGGAUCGGCUAACUCCGUGCCAGCAGCCGCGGUAAUACGGAGGAUCCGAGAGUUAUCCGGAUUUAUUGGGUUUAAAGGGAGCGUAGGUGGAUUGUUAAGUCAGUUGUGAAAGUUUGCGGCUCAACCGUAAAAUUGCAGUUGAAACUGGCAGUCUUGAGUACAGUAGAGGUGGGCGGAAUUCGUGGUGUAGCGGUGAAAUGCUUAGAUAUCACGAAGAACUCCGAGUGCGAAGGCAGCUCACUGGACUGCAACUGACACUGAGGCCCGAAGGCGUGGGGAGCAAACAGGAUUAGAUACCCUGGUAGUC
Molecule: ribosomal RNA, 460 nt
Filed under: uncultured bacterium
Lineage: Bacteria
Description: partial 16S ribosomal RNA
Rfam family: Bacterial small subunit ribosomal RNA
Source: RNAcentral